GACGAACGCUGGCGGCGUGCUUAACACAUGCAAGUCGAACGAUGAAGCCUAGCUUGCUAGGUGGAUUAGUGGCGAACGGGUGAGUAAUACGUGAGUGACCUACCUUUGACUCUGGGAUAAGCCUGGGAAACUGGGUCUAAUACCGGAUACGACCAAUCUCCGCAUGGGGUGUUGGUGGAAAGCGUUAUGGAGUGGUUUUAGAUGGGCUCACGGCCUAUCAGCUUGUUGGUGAGGUAAUGGCUUACCAAGGCGACGACGGGUAGCCGGCCUGAGAGGGUGACCGGCCACACUGGGACUGAGACACGGCCCAGACUCCUACGGGAGGCAGCAGUGGGGAAUAUUGCACAAUGGGCGCAAGCCUGAUGCAGCGACGCCGCGUGAGGGAUGACGGCCUUCGGGUUGUAAACCUCUGUUAGCAUCGAAGAAGCGAGAGUGACGGUAGUGCAG
Molecule: ribosomal RNA, 447 nt
Filed under: Rothia dentocariosa
Lineage: Bacteria; Bacillati; Actinomycetota; Actinomycetes; Micrococcales; Micrococcaceae
Description: bacterial SSU rRNA
Rfam family: Bacterial small subunit ribosomal RNA
Source: RNAcentral